CCCAUACCCCGCCCUCAGGGUAGACACUAUGCCCUGAGGAGUAGGCGGACGUGGAGGUCAGUGACGAAGCCUAGGGCGUGAGCCCGGGCCGAACGGCCUCUAGUGCAGAUCUUGGUGGUAGUAGCAAAUACUUCAAUGAGAUCUUGAAGGACCGAAGUGGGGAAAGGUUCCAUAUGAACAGCGGUUGGAUAUGGGUAAGCCGAUCCUAAGCCAUAGGGAAGUUCCGUUUCAAAGGGGCACUAAUCGCCCCGUAUGGCGAAAGGGAAGCCGGUCAAUAUUCCGGCGCCUGGAUGUGGGUUUUACGCGGCAACGCAAUCGAAAGCGGAGACGAGGGCGGGGGCCCUGGGUAGAGUUCUCUUUUCUUCUUAACAGUCUAGUGACCCUGGAAUCGGUUUGUCCGGAGAUAGGGUUCAACGGCUGGAAGAGCCCAGCACUUCUGCUGGGUCCGGUGCGCUCCC
Molecule: ribosomal RNA, 458 nt
Filed under: Lomentospora prolificans
Lineage: Eukaryota; Fungi; Ascomycota; Sordariomycetes; Microascales; Microascaceae
Description: Scedosporium prolificans Eukaryotic large subunit ribosomal RNA
Rfam family: Eukaryotic large subunit ribosomal RNA
Source: Rfam by way of RNAcentral